AAUAACAAUACAUAAAAGACAGUUUGGAAAAUUAUCCCACCAAACAAGUCUAGAUUUCAAGCUAAGCCCAAAAUGAUCAAGAACAUGUACAUCAGCAUUUUCUAUUCUACACACAUGUAGUAUCCUACAUGUCGAUGUUGAUGCAAUAGCAAUCAAACUUGCAUGGGGCGGGGUUUACCCAAUGCGAACUCUCGGAUAGCGGCUGUGAAUUCCUUUGUCAACAAAAAAAAAUAGCAAUCGAGCUUGUUCCACUAAAGCAACCGUGUGACAACUCCAUUCAUCCAUAAGAAUCAUUCUAAAGUCAAACACAUCAAUGCCUAUCAGAAUCCCAUGGUAAAGCCAUAAUUAUUGCCAAAAUCUGCAUCAACAACAUUGCUAAACCUCUCUGAUAUGGCAGCCAAAACUUCCCUUUUCUCAUCACACACUACUACACCAACUCCCCACCUUUCUUGACCCAUCAACAGUUUCAACCUUCGUCAUGUGGCUUUACCUAUGCUCUAAUCAAUCUAUUCGGCAUCUGAUCCCUACUAGCCUCUUCUUGUAAUCGAGUGAAUUCCAAGAAAUAAGAAUAAGCAAAAUCUGCAACCUCUUUUGCUUUCAUCACUUUAUUCUCAAAUAUCAAG
RNAcentral lists this long non-coding RNA (623 nucleotides) under Coffea arabica (coffee). RNAcentral describes it as "long non-coding RNA (CARA_LNC000622)". The record is from RNAcentral. Lineage: Eukaryota; Viridiplantae; Streptophyta; Magnoliopsida; Gentianales; Rubiaceae.